CUUAAGUAAAAAUGGUUAGGAGCCAGAAUAUGUGAAUUAGAUAAUAUUUUAGUCUCCUUUGACCAUUCAGCUACAAGUGGUAAUUUGAGUUUGAUGUCUGGCAAUUUCGGCGUCAGGUUGUCCCACGCCAACUUUUAAAUUUCUCGGACACUGCUAAGAACAACAGUUAAACCAAAAGAAAAAUCAAAGGUACAUAAUUUGUCUUGUUGAAUAAAGUCUUUGGUAUUUUCGAAGUCGUUUCCUUUUUUCCAUUUUCUUAUCAUUUGAAACUCCAAUUUCUUAUCAUGUGAAACUGAUUGCAAUUUUGAGUUGCAAUGCUGCCAAUAGAGUUCAAAAGCACGGUUACGUUUUUUAUUUCGCCAAGUCGAUGAAAAUUUUAAAGAAAUGUUUAUUUAAGUAAUUAUUAAAACAAAUUUAGAAAGUUUCCAAACAAAAUCGAGUGGCUGAGCGGAUUUGGAAAGGUGUUAAGCACCACAAGUUCGAAAGAUACUAAAUUUAGAUUUAUCUGUGUGCGUGGCCAUGCAACAUGGGUAUCUAAUUCUUAUUGUGACCAGCCGGAUUUAUCUAGCGUCGAUGGACAAACCACCAUAAGAUUAGUCGGCCCGUGGAGUCCGGCAUGUCUCAGGUCAUCAGCUGGACCGAGUGUUAUUUCCAACUUUGGUGGUGUAUUUGAAACCGAUGGUUUAUAAGUUUCAAAAACUGGUUCGAGAUUUUGGUUUCUCAAAUUAAUUGCUGGAUUUGAUUGACAUAAAAACUGUGGUGGCCAAAAUAUUCUUAUCGGAAAGCGAAUCGUUUCGGAGUUUAAAUCAUUUCUUUCGGUUUAUGGGCUCUGAAGCGUGAACUCUUUAUCUUCCUUCCUCUCUCUCUCUCUCUCUCUUAUAUUUCAACAAUUUUGUUUUAUAUUAGGUAUUAUGUUCUUCAUAUUAUCUAGGUUCUACUUAGAUUUAACUUUUUGCCUUUUCCUUCUUGGUUUCUCAAAUUUUUUUUUUUUAAUUCUUUGCUCUGGAAUCGAUGGCCUCUCCUUUUGAUUAAUUUUUGGAUGAUCUUUUCGAUUUUGAUUCUUGAUAGUUCGUCUAACAAUGGUGACCUUUCAACUGCUCGUCGUUUCCCUGCAUGUGCUAGCAGGAGAUCUAGGAACAUUGUAGUUUAGGGUUCAUUUUUGAGCCGGACUCCAAUGUCAAUUCUAAGAGAGGAAACGCUGCUGUGAUUCCUACUGGGGGUUCCAGCGAGCAAACUUUGGUUAGUAUCUCCCAUCAUGUGUUAUAUGCUUAUAACUCUCCGAGCACGGAGGAGUCCGUCCGUGGUUUGAAGGAAACUCUAGGGAUUCCUCCAAAAAUUGUAUUUCUCAUGCCCUCUAGUUCUGAUGGUUCGUGGUUCGCAGAGCAAGCUAUUGUUAGAGAUGCCAGAUGGUUAUCUUCAAACUCUUUGUUGGUGAUAUCCGAACUGUAGUGGGUCUCCUAGUGUUUGCUGGUUAGCUUUGUUAAACUAUGUGUCCACAACUUCCCGAGGCCAGUUAACUCGGUUUCUAAUAAAGGAGGCAUGUACUCUCUCUCUCGGGUAAUCCUCAUAUUGUUAGGACUCCUCCCAGAAAGAUGAAGGACUGGGAAGAGAAUUACUUAUUUGUGAAGGUUGACGCACAUUCCAUUUCUGACGAUUUAACGUAGACCGUCAUGCGUGAUUGGAAUGAAAAUCCUGCCUAAAGAGAAGAUCGAUGGGAUGCAGCUCACACCAUUCUUCCAAUAGUUGAAGGCCAUCCAAGAGCUAAUUGGGAAACCAUUACUCCAGCUUGUAUCGAGUCAGUUAUGACAGCUCCAUCUACCGAUCUUUCUCUUUCUCUCGUGCUUUCUUCUCGACCUACUGCAAGGUAUCCAUGGGUAGCCAAUAGAUUGGCUGAGGUUUCCAAAAAGAGAUAAGUGAGAAGCAAAAAUUCAAACACUGCGGUGAGUAGAGUUGCUACCCUAUCCUCUACAUAGGGGAGGGCUUAGGCACCAAGCUUUCCGAGCAGUAGGGAGGUCGUCUAGACCUCUGAGGCUGAAGUUUCUCCCACUCAAUUGCUACCUUCUCCUUUGAUCCCUGACGUUUUUUUGGGAAGAGAAACUGAGGGCUUCUUUAAGGCGGCAAUCUUUGGUUGAUCCUUUGAGGUCAAAGAGCCUCUCCUAUUCAUCCGGACUUCCGAGUCUGAACCUGAGGAGUACUCGUUUCCCGAUCCUUGUAGGGACCUUGUUGUUUCGUCAAAGAGAACUAUAGUAACGAAGCCACUUCUGAUCAAAUCGAGGGAUUAUGCCAUAUCUUUUGAAUUUCUUGGUUAAAUUCCCCUUCCUAGCGUUGGGUCAUCAUGAUCUCAGGAGAUGUUCUCCGAGAAUGAGAUCAAUGAAGGAAUCAGUCAAACAAAUGAUUUGUUGAUUUUUGCCUCUUGACUUGUCUUCGUAUAUUAAAAUUCGAGGUUGAAUAUGAUUUUCUUUCAGUCCA
Brassica napus (rape) is the source of this 2469-nucleotide long non-coding RNA. RefSeq lists it as uncharacterized. Lineage: Eukaryota; Viridiplantae; Streptophyta; Magnoliopsida; Brassicales; Brassicaceae. The record is from RefSeq and is a predicted model, not a curated record. The transcript has 3 exons.